GGCCUAUCGAUCCUUUAGACCUUC
RNAcentral lists this non-coding RNA (24 nucleotides) under Arabidopsis thaliana (thale cress). Lineage: Eukaryota; Viridiplantae; Streptophyta; Magnoliopsida; Brassicales; Brassicaceae. RNAcentral also lists the same sequence under 1 other name. The record is from RNAcentral.